GUGUGUAUGAUCCAGAGGCACUUGUUCUUGUUGUUUGUGCCAUUGCCAUUGUUGUGGGUGGUGAUCUUGAGAGGCAGUUUUGAUAGGAUAUUGGGGACAGGUGUCAUUUUCAUAACUUAUAUUUGGACUACUGCACCUCACGCUAAUUUACCUCAAAUGACACACUGUCCAGAUAUCAGAGCUCCUUGAAUCACAGCAACCAUGGGUUGGGUUUUGAGCUCAGAGGAAUGACCCAACUCUGCGCAAGCAAGCAGCGGAAGUCUCUGCAUGCUGCCUUCCAACUGGCCACUGGGUGUCACUCUUCGUCUAUGUUCGCUGGGUGUCAGGGUCUGAGAAGUAAUUCAGCCUUUGCUGAAGUCUCCAUCUUCUCCGUGAGCAGGAACUCUGCCUUUCUCAGUGAUGAGGAGAGAUGUUCCCUGUUGGCCCUGGGAAGUGAUAAGCAGACUGAGUGUUCCAGCUUUCUCCACACUCUUGCUCGCACUGACAUCACAUCUGUCUACCGGCUCAGUGGGUUUGAAUCCAUCCAGAAUCCUCCAAAUGAUCUGAGUGCAUCCCAGCCUGAAGGCUUCAAGGAGGUCAGGCCUGGCAGAGCCUGGGAGGAGCAUCAGGCCGUGGGCUCCAGACAGUCCAGCAGCUCUGAGGACUCCAGCCUGGAGGAGGAGCUCCUCUCAGCCACCUCAGACAGCUAUCACCUGCCGGAGCCUGAUGACCUUGAUGAC
Molecule: small RNA, 719 nt
Filed under: Pongo abelii (Sumatran orangutan)
Lineage: Eukaryota; Metazoa; Chordata; Mammalia; Primates; Hominidae
Description: processed transcript
Source: RNAcentral